This 497-nucleotide ribosomal RNA is filed under the name uncultured bacterium. Its description in RNAcentral is "partial 16S ribosomal RNA". It matches the Rfam family "Bacterial small subunit ribosomal RNA", at positions 28 to 507 of the family's 1533-position model. The record is from RNAcentral.
GAUGAACGCUGGCGGCGUGCCUAAUACAUGCAAGUCGAGCGAACGGACGAGAAGCUUGCUUCUCUGAUGUUAGCGGCGGACGGGUGAGUAACACGUGGAUAACCUACCUAUAAGACUGGGAUAACUUCGGGAAACCGGAUCUAAUACCGGAUGAUAUUUUGAACCGCAUGGUUCAAAAGUGAAAGACGGUCCUGCUGUCACUUAUAGAUGGAUCCGCGCUGCAUUAGCUAGUUGGUAAGGUAACGGCUUACCAAGGCAACGAUGCAUAGCCGACCUGAGAGGGUGAUCGGCCACACUGGAACUGAGACACGGUCCAGACUCCUACGGGAGGCAGCAGUAGGGAAUCUUCCGCAAUGGGCGAAAGCCUGACGGAGCAACGCCGCGUGAGUGAUGAAGGUCUUCGGAUCGUAAAACUCUGUUAUUAGGGAAGAACAUAUGUGUAAGUAACUGUGCACAUCUUGACGGUACCUAAUCAGAAAGCCACGGCUAACUACGUG